Molecule: transfer RNA, 79 nt
Filed under: Peptacetobacter hiranonis DSM 13275
Lineage: Bacteria; Bacillati; Bacillota; Clostridia; Peptostreptococcales; Peptostreptococcaceae
Description: Clostridium hiranonis DSM 13275 tRNA
Rfam family: tRNA
About the family: Transfer RNA (tRNA) molecules are approximately 80 nucleotides in length. Their secondary structure includes four short double-helical elements and three loops (D, anti-codon, and T loops).
Source: Rfam by way of RNAcentral
GCCGCUGUGGCGGAAUGGCAGACGCACAUGACUCAAAAUCAUGCGGGAAACCGUACGGGUUCAAGUCCCGUCAGCGGUA